This 2054-nucleotide ribosomal RNA is filed under the name wastewater metagenome. Its description in RNAcentral is "bacterial LSU rRNA". It matches the Rfam family "Bacterial large subunit ribosomal RNA", at positions 1 to 1999 of the family's 2925-position model. The record is from RNAcentral.
GCAAGAUACCACGGGCGCACGGCGGAUGCCUUGGCACAGGGAGCCGAUGAAGGACGCGGCAAGCUGCGAUAAUCCCCGGCGAGGAGCACACAUCCUUCGACCCGGGGGUCUCCGAAUGGGCGAACCCAUCCACAGCAGUGUGGAUAUCCCCACCCCGAACACAUAGGGGUGGGGAGGACAACCCGGGGAACUGAAACAUCUAAGUACCCGGAGGAGAGGAAAUCAAUCUCGAGACUCCCCGAGUAGCGGCGAGCGAAAGGGGACCGAUGGCCAAACCGUCGAGCGGGCAUACCCGGCAGGGGUUCCGCCGACGGGGUUGCAGGGCCGCGCAUCCGGGGGCUGCCGCCCCCGGGCGCAGGUCCGGCUGGGGAGCGGAACGGCAUGGGAGGGCCGGCCGCAGCGGGUGACAGCCCCGUACGCGAACCCAGACCGGACGGCGCGACGCGGUCCCUGAGUAGGGCCGGGCACGUGAAACCCGGUCCGAACCUGGGUGGACCACCAUCCAAGCCUGAGUACUACCCUGUGACCGAUAGCGCACCAGUACCGUGAGGGAAAGGUGAAAAGCACCCCGGGAGGGGAGUGAAACAGUACCUGAAACCGUGCGCCCACGAGCAGUCGGAGCACCCUUGUGGUGUGACGGCGUGCCUUUUGUAGAAUGAGCCAGCGAGUCGCUGGCGCGGGGCGAGGUUAACCGAAAGGGAGCCGGAGCGAAAGCGAGCCUUAACAGGGCGACUUGAGUCCCGCGCCGCGGACGCGAAGCCGGGUGAGCUAUCCGUGGGCAGGCUGAAGCGGGGGUAAGACCCCGUGGAGGGCCGAACGCACGUCGGUUGAAAACGGCGGCGAUGACCUGCGGAUAGGGGUGAAAGGCCAAUCAAACCCGGAGAUAUCUCGUUCUCCCCGAAAUAGCUUUAGGGCUAGCGUCGCGCGUUCACCGCCGGAGGUAGAGCACCGGAUGGACGAGGGGGCUUCGCCGCCUACCGAAUCCAACCGAACUCCGAAUGCCGGCGGCCCAGAGCGCGGCAGUCAGAGCAUGUGGGCUAAGCUGUGUGCUCGAGAGGGAAACAGCCCGGACCGCCCGCUAAGGUCCCCAAGUUCCAGCCGAGUGGCAAAGGAUGUGCGUCCGCCCAGACAACCAGGAUGUUGGCUUAGAAGCAGCCAUCCAUUCAAAGAGUGCGUAACAGCUCACUGGUCGAGUGGACAUGCGCCGACAAUACACGGGGCUAAGCUGGACACCGAAGCGGCGGGAUUUUGAUUUUCAGAAUCGGUAGGGGAGCUUCCCAUGGGCGGUGAAGCCGCCGGGCGACCGGCGGUGGAGCGCAUGGGAGUGAGAAUGCUGGCAUGAGUAGCGAGAGACGAGAGAGUAACUCGUCCGCCGUGAACCCGAGGUUUCCUGGGCAAGGCUAAUCCUCCCAGGGUCAGUCGGGGGCUAAGGCGAGGCCGGAAGGCGUAGCCGACGCGCAGCAGGCAGACAUUCCUGCACCGCGCACGCGGCGCUACGACCGACGGGGCGACGGAUGGGGGUGGCUCGGCGGGGUUCUGGACGUCCCCGUGAUGGAGCGCGGCCCGCGGACCAGGGAAAUCCGGUCCGCACGAGGGCGAGGCUCCGGACGAAGCGAUCAAGCGAAGCGAGUGAGCCCGAGGUCCCUAGAAAAACCCCUAGGCAGGCGCGUGCGCGCCCGUACCGCAAACCGACACAGGUGGGUGGGUAGAACAUACCGAGGCGAUCGGGUCAACCAUGGUCAAGGAACUCGGCACAAUGGCCCCGUAACUUCGGGAGAAGGGGUGCCCGCGCGUACGUGAACGGACUUGCUCCGGGAGCGGAGGCGGGCCGCAGUGGAGAGGCCCAAGCGACUGUUUACCAAAAACACAGGACUCUGCAGAAGCCGCAAGGCGACGUAUAGGGUCUGACGCCUGCCCGGUGCCGGAAGGUCACGCGGAGGAGUUAGCCGCAAGGCGAAGCCCCGAAGCCAAGCCCCGGUAAACGGCGGCCGUAACUAUAACGGUCCUAAGGUAGCGAAAUUCCUUGUCGGGUAAGUUCCGACCUGCACGAAAGG